RNAcentral lists this non-coding RNA (24 nucleotides) under Arabidopsis thaliana (thale cress). The record is from RNAcentral. Lineage: Eukaryota; Viridiplantae; Streptophyta; Magnoliopsida; Brassicales; Brassicaceae.
UUAAGAAUUCUGUGAAAAUUGAUG